GAGAAGCAGAAGCAGAGGGAGGAAGAGAGAAAGGCAUUGGAGAAGCAGAAGCAGGGGGAGAGGGACGGAGAUAGAUAUGAGCGUGACCAUGAGGGGAGGAAAGGCGAAAAUGAUGUUGAAAGAGACUACAAAAGAAAAGUUGGAGAAGAUAGGUAUGAUCCAAGCAGGAGGCAGGAUGAGGAUAGGUAUGAUCCAAACAGGAGACAUGAUGAAGAUA
Molecule: unclassified non-coding RNA, 217 nt
Filed under: Hevea brasiliensis (rubber tree)
Lineage: Eukaryota; Viridiplantae; Streptophyta; Magnoliopsida; Malpighiales; Euphorbiaceae
Source: RNAcentral